Molecule: ribosomal RNA, 253 nt
Filed under: uncultured bacterium
Lineage: Bacteria
Description: partial 16S ribosomal RNA
Rfam family: Bacterial small subunit ribosomal RNA
Source: RNAcentral
UACGGAGGGUGCGAGCGUUAAUCGGAAUAACUGGGCGUAAAGGGCACGCAGGCGGGCUGUUAAAUGAGUCGUGAAAUCCCCGGGCUUAACCUGGGAAUAGCAUUUCAGACUGGGAGUCUAGAGUACUUUAGGGAGGGGUAGAAUUCCACGUGUAGCGGUGAAAUGCGUAGAGAUCUGGAGGAAUACCGAAGGCGAAGGCAGCCCCUUGGGAAUGUACUGACGCUCAUGUGCGAAAGCGUGGGGAGCAAACAGG